Molecule: non-coding RNA, 28 nt
Filed under: Mus musculus (house mouse)
Lineage: Eukaryota; Metazoa; Chordata; Mammalia; Rodentia; Muridae
Source: RNAcentral
UGCCCUCCACGGCAUCAGAUGCCCGCUG